RNAcentral lists this ribosomal RNA (441 nucleotides) under uncultured bacterium. Its description in RNAcentral is "partial 16S ribosomal RNA". It matches the Rfam family "Bacterial small subunit ribosomal RNA", at positions 338 to 795 of the family's 1533-position model. The record is from RNAcentral.
CCUACGGGAGGCAGCAGUCGGGAAUAUUGCGCAAUGGAGGAAACUCUGACGCAGUGACGCCGCGUGCAGGAAGAAGGUUUUCGGAUUGUAAACUGCUUUAUACAGGGCAGAAAAGAGACAGUACCUGUAGCAUAAGCUCCGGCUAACUACGUGCCAGGAGGCGCGGUAAUACGUAGGGAGCAAGCGUGCUCCGGAUUUAUUGGGUGUAAAGGGGGCGUAGAGGGAGAAGCAAGUUAGUUGUGAAAUCCCUAGGCUUAACUGAGGAACUGCAACUAAAACUACUUCCCUUGAGUACUGGAGAGGAAAGUGGAAUUCCUGGUGUAGCGGUGAAAUGCGUAGAUAUUAGGAGGAACACCAGUGGCGAAGGCGACUUGCUGGACAGUAACUGACGUUGAGGCACGAAAGUGUGGGGAUCAAACAGGAUUAGAUACCCCAGUAGUC